AAUUGCUGGGCUCUUGGCCAGACCGGGCUCCAUUUCCUGCCUGCAAGGCUGCAAGCUACAUUCCUGCCUCUCAGCCUCCAAGUCCCACAGGGCCCAGAUCUGUUCCCUUUCCAGGAGCCCCCCUCUGCCUGACUGCACCCCAGCCUCUGGGAGAAGGAUAACCCCCACGAUGAUGAUCCGGGAAUAAACAGAGUUGAAAAUGCUGACGGGGGAGAAAGGAAGUGGAACUGGGAGAAGCCAGAAGCCAGAACCUGAUCCCCAGAAUGGUGGGCUGCAUGCCAGGUGCAUCUUCACACUAGAGCCGGUCACUGAGCAGGAUCUGUGAGUUCUCUGUCCUCCCUCACCUGCGGUACCGACUCCAAUCCCUGACACUCCCCCAGCCUGUGUCCAGAGUGUCUAGUCCUGUCCCUGUCAAAGCUAGCUGUGUGGCUUUGGUCAUGUCACUUGAGCCCUCUGGGCCUCCAUCCCCCUCUCAGUCUCCCUGACUGGGACUGUUUAUACAUCCGGCACCUCCGACUUUUCCCCUUCAUCGCUGAUCUUUCUGGUCAGUAAGUCUUCUAUUCCCGUGAAGGCUGUCACAUACACUUGAGCUGCACGUUCCCCACACAAUGUCUUCUGCCUCCCAACGAGGGGUGGACGUAUGAACACACACAGAGAUGUGCAGCUUAGCUCGGUUCUGAGGUGGGCUUUUUAGUUUCUGUCUCUCUUUGCCCUUUCCUGGGCUGCCUUUACCAUUGAGACUGGCUCACACAGUCCUUCCCAGCCAGGAGUGAGACCCCAGCCCAGACCGCCACAUUCUCCCCACAGAAGAGCCCCCCUGCCAGCCUUGACCGCCCAGUAGCACCUCACACUACACAAUCUCCAUGAGCACACUCAAACACGGCCCCUCCUAUACCCAGCCAAGUCAGGCUCUGGCACGCCAGGCAUGUCUGCCGGAUGGAGGGGCCGGAAGCCUGAGAGAGGCAGACUAGAGGCUGGGGCAGCAGGAGCAGAGCAGGGGUGAAAGGCUGGCCCGCUGCUGGCUCAGGAAACGGAGGCCAGAGGGUCUACCAAAGGCCUUGUUUACUCAUCAGGAAAUAAAGAACCAGCAGGGGUUCUGACUCACAAUCUAAGCCAGUCUCCGCCCCAGCUCCAGCCCUAACUGCCACCUGGGGAGAGGUGGCCCUUUUUCCUAAGCGGGCAGGCGGGUCUUUAUUAAAUGUGUUGGCCAAGGGCUUUGUCUGGCCACCAGACAGGGACAAGCCUGGAGAGUAGCUACCUCACUAGCCUGCCUUCCUUACCACCACCCAGAGAUUACCUUCAGAGAGUACAAUCCUGGCAGGGCAAGGUGACUUUUACAUUUAAUCUCAACACUCAGGGGACUGAAAUAGGAGGAUAAAUUAUUCCAGAACAGCCUGGGCUACUUACAGAGUGAGCUGCUGUCUCAAGGGAAAAAAAAAUUCACAUAGUGCAAUCUUGCUCUGGCUACUGCCGGCUUCUAUUACCUUCUGUGGACGCCCACUACAGAAAAGGCCACUAUAUCAGUCUGUGACUGAAGCCAAGGGCCCCACAUGCCUCUCACUGUGCAGCUGCCUCUGCUUAAGCCUCACCUUCUCUCCCUGCCCUCUAAGCUUAAACAGUCAUGGGCCCCAGUGGCCCAAAGGAGCUCUGGCGAUUUUCCCUGCUCCACACAGAAGCUGGCUCCAAGUGGGACGCUCACCUCUGACACAGGGAAAUGACCCAGUCAAAGUCUGCCUCCUCUGGAAACAAGCAGAGCUCACCUAGGCAACUCCAGGUCUGACGGCAGAACACUGCUGUCUAGGGGAGGGCCGAGGGGCAGCCUGGACUCUCAGUCUCAUCCUGUGCAACACUCACCAACACUGGCGUAGACCAAGGUCUCCUCCCAGACCAUCCCUGGGCCACACUGGGCUCUUUCACUGGUGUAGGCUUGCUUGGUGGUGCUGGAAGUGAAGCCCUGGGCUUCAGCAUGCCUGGAAAGUGCUACACCACUGAGCUGUACCCUGCCUGGCCAUAAUGCUUAUCAACAACUGUCUGCCACCAUGGGCAAGGCCCUUCACCACACACCCGGUGCCCAGCGCCAGCCAGCACCCACAGCAGUUGUGUGGCAGGGAUAGGUGGACACCCUAAACAGAGUAUAGAGUGCUACAACCUUUCCUCCACUCCCCAUCAGGCCUCUCAGAGCCCUGGACACAGUGCGGUGACACUGGUUAAAGAAAAAAAAGGGGGGUUGGGGAUUUAGCUCAGUGGUAGAGCACUUGCCUAGCAAACGCAAGGCCCUGGGUUCAAUCCCCAGCUCCGAAAAAAGAAAAAAAAAAAAAAAAGGUGGAGCCAGAGAAAUGGCUCAGCAGUUAAGAGCACUGACUGCCCUUUCAGAGGCCCUGAGUUCAAAUCCCAGCAACCACAUGGUGGCUCACAACCAUCUGUAAUGGGAUCUGAUGCCCUCUUCUGGUGUGUCUGAAGACAGCUACGGUGUACUCACAUACAUAAAAUAAAUCUAAUAAUAGGGAGGAGGAAGAGGAGGAGGAAGAGGAAGAGGAAGAGGAAGAAAAAGGUGGAAUACAGAAAGACUAGCAGCACAAACUGAAAGAUGGCCCCCCAUCUGCCAAGCUGGCCUGGGUCAGGAGUCCCUCAGGACUGACCUCCACGUUCCCAACUGGUGAGUGGGAUGAAAGCAGAGCCGUGCAAGGCUCCAAGUCACUUAGCAGGUGUAGACCAGAUGUGAGUCCUCAUCCUGCACCUUGGAGCCUGGGACAGUGCCCACCACAGCCCACAAAUCCUUCCAAACACAGAGACUGAGUCCCAGAUGCCCCUCUGUGGUUGGAGGCAACCACAGGAAGGGAGAGGUGCCCACACUCAGGGUUCUGCUUGCAGGCUGCUUCUCUCAGACUAAAGGUGUGUGUACAUUAGGGAAAUACAUGAGGGCUAGCCUUUUCAUCCUCUUAGCCCUUACGCUAUUUCAGAGAUGAAGAAAUAUUCUAGGUGGGUAAUCUGCCUUUCUUCACACAAGCUACCAGAGCAUAGCAGGGGUGCAGACCAGGCCUCAGUGCAGACUCUGUGUGCCUUUCCUGCCACCCCCAUGGCUUCUCCCCAACCUGGAAUCUUUGUUCUCAAUCUCUAUAUCCCCAGGCCUUGUUUUGCCAAGUCUGUGUGUAUUGCAUUGCCUGAGUCUGUGUUUAUGUCUGUCCAUCCUCUCUCCUCCUGCCCUUCUGCUAGCUCCUGCUCCUCUACAGGGCAGGCACCAGGAGUCACCGUCCUGUACCAAGCUGGAGUUUCCUCAGAGAAGCUGAGAGGUUGUAGAGCCCCAGACAGUGGCUGCGACAACUAUCUUUCUCUAGGUUUCUCGCUGGUGGAGCAGGCUGCCUGGGGAGGGUUUCCUCUUCUGGGAAUGUCUGAUAGGGCAUGUUGGAGUGAAGUGGAGAAGCAGAAGCCAACCCUCUCACUUCACCCUUCACUGAGAAGAAAAAGGCAAACAACGGAGGUGGCGGGGAUAAGAUGGCAGGCUUUGGAAGAGCAGCAAAGGGUAGGCUGGUGGGUAGGAGGCCAGUCCACACCCAUCUCACCCGUGCACACGUAGACACAGGUAAGGAACUGUACUAUGGGGUGGAGUUGGGUUUGGGGAACAGCCUCCAACCCCCUACGCCCAGCAUAGACAGGGGUUGAGAACUGACCCCUUAUCCGGCCCUGCCUAAAGCUGAGCCUGGCUGAGCCUGGGAACCUCAACCAGCACAUGCUGUUCCAAUCUCCGGGGAGCAGGGGUCACUGUCCCCAGCUGGGGCAGCAGGCUCUACUAAAAAUCCAAAACACGGAGUCACGAGUCCAUGGCUAGCAGCUGGAAAUAGGAAUGCGAGGUGAGGGAGGCCUUGCUGGAUGGAGUUUGGGUUCCUGGGGUCGAGGGCCCACACCAUCUGCCUGGCCAUGGGCCCGCAUCAUCCAGGAAAAACAAAAACAAAAAACCUCAGAGACUAUAGGUGCCUGCGGCUGACCUCUCUCCUACAAGAUGGGAAAGGACAGGCAAAUCCAGUCCCUUCCCUGGGCAGGGAUAGAGGAGCAACCCAACGAACACUGAACGGGGUCUUUAUCCGGGAGACACGCUUUCCCUCAGUCUGUCCCUCAGGAGGAGACAGACAGGCAACUGCAUUUUGUUAGUCCCUCCAGAAAGAAGAAACAGGGGGCGGGGAGGCGGCGGAGGGAAGACAAGGUUCAGGGUUAGUUUUCAGGGCUUCAGUACCACCAAGGUUCUACAACUCACAAACAGCACUCUGGAAUCCUGGAGAGUUACAGACUGCCUUCCCCUGGGGAAGAGAACAUUUUCCCAGGCCGUCCCAGUCCCAGUUCUAGCUCCUAAUCCUCAGAGCUACGCAGCAGCUUUCUUUUCUACUUAGAUGGGUCUCCCUCUCUCUCCCUCUCGCUCUCUCCUUUCUCUCCUCUCUUUUCACUUAGGCGGCUCUCUCUACUUAGAUCUCUCUUUCCCCCCUCUCCCCUAACUCUCUCUCUGCCUCCUUUCUUCCUUCUCUUCUCUUCUCUACACUUAGACGGACCGCGACACACACACACACACACACACACACACACACACACACACACACACACACACACACACACACACACACACACACACACACACCCCUCCGGGCCCCCAUCUCCCCUUUUCCGCUCCGCAGGUUUCACCCACCCCACCCCCUCGGCGGUCUCGGGCUCCAGAGCCCAGGGCGGGUCACUCACCUGCCUCGGAGCUCGCAGUUCGGAGGGGAAUGGCGUGUGCACCGACGGGUCCCACUGCCCGACGGAGUCCGCUGCGCGGGCAGGAAGGGGGUGGGCCUCCGCCCGCGCCCAGGCAGGAAGUCCGCGCGGGGAGGCUGGAGCCGGGCCGGGUGGGGUCAGCCCUCCGCACGCCUGUCUGUGAAGUGGACCGGGAGAGCCGCCCAACCUGACAGGCUCUGGACCAGCCCCGGCCCCGGGUGUCGCGGUCCACCCGACGCCCCUCUUUCCUGCCCGGCGGCGCCCCCUGGCGGCCUUCAGGGGAGGGGCACCCUGCCUGCGCGAUCAGAUCAUUGGGAGCUUUGCAUGGGUUGAAGCAUGAUGCUGCUGUAAAGAAGCCAGAGCGGGGCUGGGGAUUUAGCUCAGUGGUAGAGCGCUUACCUAGGAAGCGCAAGGCCCUGGGUUCGGUCCCCAGCUCCGAAAAAAAGAACAAAAAAAAAAAAAAAAAAAAAAAAGAAGCCAGAGCCAAAACUGAGCAGUUGUCUGUCAGCUUGCUCAGAAGCACUCAACGACCUACCACAGUCAGGGCGCAGAACAAAAACGACGUGCCUGGGGGCGUGUGGCUUAGGCUGCAAGCCCUAGAUUGAAUUCUAAACAGCAGGAACACCUUUAUUUAAGAGUGGUUGACAUAUGAUAAAAGUCUUACUUGGUUUGAUGAAUAUUGUUCCAAAACUUCAUCGUGACAAAAUAUACGCAUUAUAAAA
This is a non-coding RNA of Rattus norvegicus (Norway rat), 5462 nucleotides long. The record is from RefSeq and is a predicted model, not a curated record. NCBI's taxonomy places the organism in Eukaryota, Metazoa, Chordata, Mammalia, Rodentia, Muridae.